RNAcentral lists this ribosomal RNA (490 nucleotides) under uncultured bacterium. RNAcentral's name for it is "partial 16S ribosomal RNA". It matches the Rfam family "Bacterial small subunit ribosomal RNA", at positions 29 to 506 of the family's 1533-position model. The record is from RNAcentral.
GUGCACGCUGGCGGUAGGCCUCACACCUGCCAGUCGAACGGCAGCACAGUAAGAGCUUGCUCUUACGGGUGGCGAGUGGCGGACGGGUGAGGAAUACAUCGGAAUCUACUUUUUCGUGGGGGAUAACGUAGGGAAACUUACGCUAAUACCGCAUACGACCUACGGGUGAAAGCAGGGGAUCUUCGGACCUUGCGCGAUUGAAUGAGCCGAUGUCGGAUUAGCUAGUUGGCGGGGUAAAGGCCCACCAAGGCGACGAUCCGUAGCUGGUCUGAGAGGAUGAUCAGCCACACUGGAACUGAGACACGGUCCAGACUCCUACGGGAGGCAGCAGUGGGGAAUAUUGGACAAUGGGCGCAAGCCUGAUCCAGCCAUACCGCGUGGGUGAAGAAGGCCUUCGGGUUGCAAAGCCCUUUUGUUGGGAAAGAAAAGCAGCAGGUUAAUACCCCGCUGUUCUGACGGUACCCAAAGAAUAAGCACCGGCUAACUUCGU